Long non-coding RNA from Toxorhynchites rutilus septentrionalis, 424 nucleotides. RefSeq lists it as uncharacterized. Lineage: Eukaryota; Metazoa; Arthropoda; Insecta; Diptera; Culicidae. The record is from RefSeq and is a predicted model, not a curated record. The transcript is spliced from 3 exons.
CGGCUGAUGGAUACGCGUCAAAAUUUGACAGCAAUCGGUCGAUUGGGUCGUGAGUUACAGCACUUUUGUUAUUGCGAAAAAAAAUGAAAAAAUCCGAAUUUCGUGUAUUGAUAAAGCAUUGCUUUUUGAUGGAAAAAAAUACAGUGCAAACCAAAGCAUGGCUUGACAAACGUUAUCCGAACUCUACUCCAGCAUCUGUGAACUCUAUGGUGAAACCCUGCAAAGUGGCCAAAGCUGGAAGACUAUGCUGGGAAGAACGUGAAUCCGGCGGAUACGAGAAGACGAGGAGCGCUGCGAGCAAGGUGGUUAGUCCAAAUGGAGCAGAACCUGGUCGAUGGGGGUGAAAAUGGGCCGAAAAAGCUGGAAUGCUCACCUACCUACCUAAGCGCAGAUAAUUGCAGAAAUACAACAUGAAAGCCAUCUC